This is a long non-coding RNA of Mustela lutreola (European mink), 3081 nucleotides long. RefSeq lists it as uncharacterized. The transcript has 4 exons. Lineage: Eukaryota; Metazoa; Chordata; Mammalia; Carnivora; Mustelidae. The record is from RefSeq and is a predicted model, not a curated record.
UGCCGUAUAGCUUCUGGUCCAGCCCCACUGGGUAGGGCUUCUGCAUUCCAUGAUGAGCUCCGACUGGAUGCCACUGCCAGCAGUCCAAGGACUACGUGUUGAGUCGUAAGGAUGUAGGGUGCUGUUUCAGGCCAUCUGCUUCCAUACCUCUUGUCCCACUUACAGAUGCCUAAAAAUCCACCCUUACUAGACGGCGAGAGGAAAGGUCCAGCACAGCCAAGGUGAGAGAAUCAGUGAUGAACUCUUGGACAGGAUGGAACAAGUGAACAAGACUCAAGCAGCCCAACGCCAUACAGCUACCGCUGGGAUUCAUUUUCAAGUUUCUAAAGUACUUUUUUAUUCUGGAGAGAGAAGCCGAAAAUCCUGGGGGAAACAUGCUCGGCUUCGGAGAAGCCACAGGUCCUUUACAUGUCAGAAUAUAUUCAGCUUCUCGGGGAAAUGACACGCCAACGAAUUUUCACAUAGAAUUCAUCUUGGUGUGCCCACAAAGGCCAGCGGGCAGUACGCAGUUGUGAGAUUACUGAGAUUUCUUUUUCUUCCUUCAACAUUCCUUUUCCUGUGGUUUUAAUGAUGUUUAUACAACCAGACAUUCAGUUUAGGAGGCCGCAGCGUCUCUGAACUGUUUCUAUUGUGCAUUGUAUUGGUAGGGAUAGAAUAAGCUCAUUAUUCCCGUACAGUCAGGAGAGUGGGAAGUGAUUAAACCUUUUGAUAAGAAGAUAAAUGAUAGGAAAUCCGAGUGAAAGCCCGCACCGCCCGGAGUCAGAGUUUCCACAGGGAGCUUGCACAAAGCCUUCCUUCUGUGCAGGGUGCCCUGGGCAGCCUUCUCCUUCCAGCUGUGGUCCCACAUUGACUGUGACACUCUUACAGACCCACACCUGGGGCCGCAGUGCUUCCAGAGAGCAGGACCCUGGGCGUGGUCCGGCCGCCGGUGCUGCGCUCCCAUGAUACCCUUGUUCACUGCGGGCCCCCUGGUGCUUUCUGCUUGCAGAUGCCCCAGACUGGAUCUGGCUGGCACAGACCAGCACGCAAGAGCUCUUGGGAAUAGUUAUCUGAUGGACAGACUGGACAGACAGAUGGCUGGACAGAUGGAAGUUUAUCAAGCUUGAGAGAGGCCGUCAUGGAGGGCGUAGUCCUACGUCAGACGUAGGCAGGGACAGGUCAUUGACAAACCCGUUUCGAUCUUACAUCCCUUACUGCUCAGAGGUAUAAGCUUCCUCGUGGGUGAGGUCAGGGGAAGCCCACCAUCCUCAGGAAUUUUGUGGGCACACAAUGACUUAUUUAAAAAUGUGUUGACCAGGACGCCAGGGUGGCUCAGACAGUUCAGCGUCCAACUCUGGAUCUCAUCUCGGGCCUCCAUCUCGAGGUCGUGAGUUCGAGCCUGUGUCGGGCUCCACGCUGGGCAUUGAGUCUACUUUAAAAAAAAUAAUUAUAAAUAAAAAUUUAAAAAUAAAUACAUACAAUAAAAUUCAGUAAAAUAAAAAUGCAUGGACCAUCGAUGAUUUGCCCACAUCAGACCCCAUAGUGCACGUUCCCUGCGCCUGGGCGUUUCCAGCUCCCAGCUUCUUCUCCCUCCGUCCUGGGUCCUGGCAGAGUAGAGGCUGCCCUUCUUCCAUUCUGGAGUUCAGUAGCCACGAAGCCCAGGGUCUGUAGGAGAUGAGGGAAAGACCCAUCUGCUCGUGUCUGAGCCCACCUCCCCAGUGGGUCUGCCUUUCAGGUCAAGUACUACGUCCUUAGCGUUAGCGGCUCGCCCACGGCCAGCACAGAAGCCACUCCUGUCCUUGAAACUUCCGAAGUUUCGUGGAGCAGGGAUACAGAUUUUUAAAAGGUGAACUGGCAUUCCUCUAGAGGGGGGAAAAACCCAAGAAACAAAAAAAGUCUUCCCUUUUCUUUAUGUGUAAGUCAAUAAACCAAAUGAAAGAAAACCCCCAAACUUUGCACUAGUCACCCUAUUUAAGCUCUCGUUCUCUUGCGUGACCAAUGAAUAGCUUUGUCACUUCCAUGAGCCGUAUUCAGCUCUCUUCUUCGGAGUUAACUGGGACAGGUUGCCAGAGCUCCAGAGAACGUCCGAGAACACACGGGACCCUGUUGCCCACUCUGCUCACGUAAUCCUGCCUCAGGAGUUGAGGAAACCAGGGCUUUUGCUCGUGUCAGGCUAAAUGAGAGCACCGGUAAGUAUCUUGAGCAAUGCUAAUAAAAUGAGGCCAGUGAUUCCAUUUGCUGUCUCGUAUAUGAAAUGAUUUUGUUUAUACGGGUCUAUUUAUACCAGGUCCUUUACCUUGGCGUGCAUAAAGUGAGUUUCUAGAUGGCGAACUUCCCCUAUUUGUUGUGGUGAGAAAAUACAGAAUGAGGGACACGGCAAUAAACGGAAGAAGUUUCCGGUUUAGGAAUCGAAAGAUGGGCGUUCGGAUCCUGGCUUUUGCUAUUUACCUGCAGGCUCUGUAUCCAGAGUGGACACCUGACCCGUUUGCUGGCAUGGCCCCCCAUGUCCCUGUCUUCAAGGAGGAACAGCUCUUUCCCACCCAGGUACCGGGCUUUCCUGGGGGCUGAUCCCACAGCCCUGCCCUCAGGAGCACAGGGGCCAGGCCAGGAUAUUCAGAGUGAUGACGAGUAGCUCCAGACUGGACGUGCCAGGGUUGACGACUCUAGCAGACGUUCUAGAGGCCAUGGAGCACUUUGGGAAGUGCACUCAUUCUGGCUCCCACUCAGAAUAUUCAAGGACCAAAAAGAGGCAGCGUGUCUUCAAAUCUUGCCAACCCUGCGUCACGGGAGCGGUGGCCUCGCUGUCAUGGGGGCCGUCGGAGUCGUCCAGCAGGGCUGGUGGAUGGGCUGACUGCUCUCACCGGGGGAGACCUCCCAAAGCCUGCCGCCUUCAUCCUUGGUGUCCUGCUGUCACCAGAGAACGGGUACCCAGCACCCCAAAUGAGCUGAGCUCUGGUGGGGACACAGACCUGGGUCCCUAGACCCUCGGGUACUGUGAAAAGCGGUAGUUUUGGAACGAGAGGGACCCAGCCUUGAAGCGUGGGCCUGCUGCCCCCGGUGACUGGCCUUUGCAAGUCGCACUGCCUUUUAGCUUCAGCUUGC